UACGAAGGGGGCUAGCGUUGUUCGGAAUUACUGGGCGUAAAGCGCGCGCAGGCGGCUAUCCAAGUCAGUGGUGAAAGCCCGGAGCUCAACUCCGGAACUGCCAUUGAAACUGUUUAGCUUGAGGAUGAGAGAGGUGAGUGGAAUUCCCAGUGUAGAGGUGAAAUUCGCAGAUAUUGGGAAGAACACCAGUGGCGAAGGCGGCUCACUGGACCGACACUGACGCUGAGGCGCGAAAGCGUGGGGAGCAAACAGG
Molecule: ribosomal RNA, 253 nt
Filed under: uncultured bacterium
Lineage: Bacteria
Description: partial 16S ribosomal RNA
Rfam family: Bacterial small subunit ribosomal RNA
Source: RNAcentral